This 386-nucleotide ribosomal RNA is filed under the name Chromohalobacter sp. 6A3. RNAcentral's name for it is "bacterial SSU rRNA". It matches the Rfam family "Bacterial small subunit ribosomal RNA", at positions 44 to 419 of the family's 1533-position model. Lineage: Bacteria; Pseudomonadati; Pseudomonadota; Gammaproteobacteria; Oceanospirillales; Halomonadaceae. The record is from RNAcentral.
AGACCGUUCAAGCUAUUCCGNAAGUCGACGGUAACAGGUCCAGCUUGCUGGAUGCUGACGAGCGGCGGACGGGUGAGUAAUGCAUAGGAAAUCUNCCCAGUCGUGGGGGAUAACCUGGGGAAAACCCAGGCUAAUACCGCAUACGUCCUACGGGAGAAAGCGGGGGCUCUUCGGACCUCGCGCGAUUGGAUGAGCCUAUGUCGGAUUAGCUGGUUGGUGGGGUAACGGCUCACCAAGGCGACGAUCCGNAGCUGGUCUGAGAGGAUGAUCAGCCACACUGGGACUGAGACACGGCCCAGACUCCUACGGGAGGCAGCAGUGGGGGGAAUAUUGGACAAUGGGCGGAAAGCCUGAUCCACCAUCCNNCGUGUGUGAAGAAGCNUUUC